GGGUUGUGAGGUUAAGCGACUAAGCGUACACGGUGGAUGCCCUGGCAGUCAGAGGCGAUGAAGGACGUGCUAAUCUGCGAUAAGCGCCGGUAAGGUGAUAUGAACCGUUAUAACCGGCGAUUUCCGAAUGGGGAAACCCAGUGUGACUCGUCACACUAUCAUUAACUGAAUCCAUAGGUUAAUGAGGCGAACCGGGGGAACUGAAACAUCUAAGUACCCCGAGGAAAAGAAAUCAACCGAGAUUCCCCCAGUAGCGGCGAGCGAACGGGGAGGAGCCCAGAGCCUGAAUCAGCAUGUGUGUUAGUGGAAGCGUCUGGAAAGGCGCGCGAUACAGGGUGACAGCCCCGUACACAAAAGCGCAUGUGCUGUGAGCUCGAUGAGUAGGGCGGGACACGUGGUAUCCUGUCUGAAUAUGGGGGGACCAUCCUCCAAGGCUAAAUACUCCUGACUGACCGAUAGUGAACCAGUACCGUGAGGGAAAGGCGAAAAGAACCCCGGCGAGGGGAGUGAAAAAGAACCUGAAACCGUGUACGUACAAGCAGUGGGAG
This 548-nucleotide ribosomal RNA is filed under the name Salmonella enterica subsp. enterica serovar Oranienburg. RNAcentral's name for it is "partial 23S ribosomal RNA". It matches the Rfam family "Bacterial large subunit ribosomal RNA", at positions 1 to 579 of the family's 2925-position model. The record is from RNAcentral. RNAcentral also lists the same sequence under 2 other names. Lineage: Bacteria; Pseudomonadati; Pseudomonadota; Gammaproteobacteria; Enterobacterales; Enterobacteriaceae.